UACGUAGGGGGCUAGCGUUGUCCGGAAUCAUUGGGCGUAAAGAGCGUGUAGGCGGUCCGGUAAGUCCGCUGUGAAAGUCGGGGGCUCAACCCUUGAAUGCCGGUGGAUACUGUCGGGCUAGAGUCCGGAAGAGGCGAGUGGAAUUCCUGGUGUAGCGGUGAAAUGCGCAGAUAUCAGGAGGAACACCAAUGGCGAAGGCAGCUCGCUGGGACGGUACUGACGCUGAGGCGCGAAAGCGUGGGGAGCAAACAGG
RNAcentral lists this ribosomal RNA (253 nucleotides) under uncultured bacterium. RNAcentral's name for it is "partial 16S ribosomal RNA". It matches the Rfam family "Bacterial small subunit ribosomal RNA", at positions 524 to 776 of the family's 1533-position model. The record is from RNAcentral.